AUGGCCCCAAACAGAGCCCCCGGACCUGAUAAUAUUCCUGUUGAAUUUUAUCAGGUCUGUUGGGAUAUAGUCAAGGACGAUAUUAUGGCCCUUUUCGACCACUUCCAUCAAGGUAAGCUUGAUGUGAAAUGCCUCAAUUAUGGGAUUAUUACCCUUCUGCUUAAAGUGUCUAGUGCUGAGAGAAUCCAGCAAUUUAGACCUAUCUGUCUACUCCGUUGCCCCUAUAAGCUCAUAACUAAAGUACUCGACCGUAGGGUUGCUGUAUACGCUGAUAAACUCAUCAGCCUCGCCUAG
RNAcentral lists this ribosomal RNA (294 nucleotides) under Triticum aestivum (bread wheat). RNAcentral's name for it is "partial small subunit ribosomal RNA". The record is from RNAcentral. Lineage: Eukaryota; Viridiplantae; Streptophyta; Magnoliopsida; Poales; Poaceae.